CGUUCCUGUCUGGAUCGGCGGCCGGCGGGAAUGGAAACUUGGAUUCCGCGAAUCGAAAGUGGCGAAUGUGGAACGGCAGCAUCUACGAAAUAGUACCAUAGUACUAUCCCGAGGACGAUGAUGGAAAGCAGAAGGAGGACCAGGAUCAUGCUCCCCGAUUAGGAAAUUGAAGGUGGAGGGAUUUAAUGCCACCGAGGUCGAUUCCAACGAGGAUCUGAGCGCAGUACCUGAUCGCAACUAUAACUAAUAACUAGCAAAGUUUCGUUUCUGCGCAUCGAGUAUCCUUCCGGACGCAAUAUCCGAUAUUCGGUUUCCCCGCAAUAAAUUCGAGGGAUACCAGUAGUGGCAGCAGAAGUUUUGAAUCGGCGACCGGCGGGAAUGGAAACUGGCUUCUGCGAAUCGGAAGUGGCGAAUGCAGAAUAGAAGCAGCAGAGAAAUAAGUAAAAUAUACUAUCUCGAUUCUCGAUGACGAUGAUGCGGAGUAGGAAGAGGGCGACGAUCAUUCUCCCCCGAUUAGGAAAUAUAAAAGAAUGGUGGAGUGGAGGAACUUAAUGACACCGAGGUCGAUUCAACGAGGAUCUGACAUCGAUCGUCGCAGUUCGCUUAUUGUGACAGCAUCAGCACCAGUAGCAGUUAACGAUAAAUCUUAAUUGGUUACACCAAUCGAGUCACGGCAUCAUAUAACUUCGGUGUUUCCAGUAGGCCGCCAACUGCGGAGUAGCCGGAACCCUUUGAAAACCUAUUGGUGUCGAUUCGACAGCUCAAGUAUAUCCGAGAGAUAAGCAGUCGGAAACGUCUGAACAUUCCAAUGCCGGUGGAUCGUUCAACGUCGGCACGUCCAGCUCCAAUAUUCUCCAGAAGUUCCCCCUGCAGAUGCAGGAGCAACAGUUGCAGGAAUAGAAAGUACUGAGAAGUAACGGAAAGAGGGCAAUUUGCUAUCCAACGGCAAUUUGUACGAUAGCGCAUCAGAGACUAGUGGCGUGUCCAAGCUGAACCUGAGUCAAGCGGAGGACCACCUUAUACCGGUAGACAGCUAUUCGGAUUCAUGGGCAACAGUCAAAGGUUCCACAGCGUGUUUGCUUUCAAGAGCUCCGGUCAAUCGGGACGGCCGGCGUUCAAUGCUUUGCUUUGUGGAAGCACUUGUCUUAGUCUAUGCUACGUCGCUGGGCAGCAGUAAUAGCAGUUUGUCAUUUUUGUUUAAGUUUUACAACGGGAGAACGAUGUACGGUGGGGCGUUAGCCUAUAGGAGUCGUCGGCAUAUUCGGCGAAUAGCUCUAAGAGUUCCGGUUCAGAUAAGGCCGUCGUCGUUUCUGUCAAAUUUUUCAUCCAACACAAGUCUCAGAUCGGAUAUCUCAGCACUUUUGAAUACGGCAAAACGGAUCAUGGAGAUUCCGAACCAACGUUACAACCCGCAACUUAAUAGCUGGGAAGCAGCUUGAGUUCGAAUAGUACGCUGACGUACUUGAAGGAGCCCGAACUUAUUCAGGCCUGGAAGCGCUUCGAUGAGGAAGAUUUUAGCUAGAACCGCAGCAUCCGAAUGUCGAUAAACCCAAAGCAUAACUGGAUCAGUAUCAUACAGAACUGCU
Molecule: long non-coding RNA, 1586 nt
Organism: Aedes albopictus (Asian tiger mosquito)
Lineage: Eukaryota; Metazoa; Arthropoda; Insecta; Diptera; Culicidae
Exons: 3
Source: RefSeq, a predicted model, not a curated record